RNAcentral lists this ribosomal RNA (414 nucleotides) under uncultured archaeon. RNAcentral's name for it is "partial 16S ribosomal RNA". It matches the Rfam family "Archaeal small subunit ribosomal RNA", at positions 330 to 746 of the family's 1478-position model. The record is from RNAcentral.
GUGCAGCAGGCGCGAAAACUCCGCAAUGCGCGAAAGCGUGACGGGGUCACCCCGAGUGCCGUCCGCUGAGGAUGGCUUUUGCCUGGUCUAACCAGCCGGGUGAAUAAGGGGAGGGCAAGUCUGGUGUCAGCCGCCGCGGUAAUACCAGCUCCCCGAGUGGUUGGGACGAUUAUUGGGUCUGAAGCGUCCGUAGCCGGCCGGAAAAGUUCCCCGUUAAAUCUGGCGAUCCAAUCGUUGGGCUGCGGGGAAUACACUUCGGCUUGGGGGCUGGGGAGGCCGGCGGUAUUCCGAGGGUAGGGGUGAAAUCCUAUAAUCCUAGGAGGACCACCAGUGGCGAAGGCGGCCGGCUAAAACGCGCCCGACGGUGAGGGACGAAAGCUGGGGGAGCGAACCGGAUUAGAUACCCGGGUAUCC